UGGGUCGUAGCGCAGAGGCAGCGCAUCCCUUGCUAAGGGAAGGACGCCGGUUCGAAUCCGGCCGCCCAGCCC
RNAcentral lists this transfer RNA (72 nucleotides) under Streptomyces sp. ICC1. RNAcentral describes it as "tRNA-Ser". It matches the Rfam family "tRNA". From Rfam's summary of the family: Transfer RNA (tRNA) molecules are approximately 80 nucleotides in length. Their secondary structure includes four short double-helical elements and three loops (D, anti-codon, and T loops). Further hydrogen bonds mediate the characteristic L-shaped molecular structure. tRNAs have two regions of fundamental functional importance: the anti-codon, which is responsible for specific mRNA codon recognition, and the 3' end, to which the tRNAs corresponding amino acid is attached (by aminoacyl-tRNA synthetases). tRNAs cope with the degeneracy of the genetic code in two manners: having more than one tRNA (with a specific anti-codon) for a particular amino acid; and 'wobble' base-pairing, i.e. permitting non-standard base-pairing at the 3rd anti-codon position. Lineage: Bacteria; Bacillati; Actinomycetota; Actinomycetes; Kitasatosporales; Streptomycetaceae. The record is from RNAcentral. RNAcentral also lists the same sequence under 1 other name.